GAGAAAAUCAGUUGUCUGUAGAAUUGGAUCUUAAGAUAGACUCAAUCUCCCACCUUGCCAACUGCCUAUCUGAUCUCUUCUUGAUGGCUUAGUCUACCAUUUUGUGCUGAGAUCUGCAUAAAUGAAACUUAAGCAACUGCAAUUGAAUUCCCUGGUAGUUAAAACUUCUGUCUACUUCACUCACUUCAAAGUCACCUUGAACAUAGGUAAAUGGGGGGGAGGGGUUGGCCAUACGAAUCUUCAUAAGUAGUGGUUUGGUUGGAAGUAUGGAAGGCAGUAUUAUAUCAUCAUUCUGCAAAUAUAGUGCCCAAUCUGAAGGUGAGUCAGAGCAAGAACACUUUAUGUAGGUCUCCAAACACGUGUUAAUAACCUCAGUCUAGCCAUCAGACUAGAGUGAUAUGUAAGUGGAUGUGUUUCAGGGUAACUUCUUGUAAUGAAUAGUUCUUGACAUAGUUUACAAGUGAAAUUGGAGUCCUAUCACUUACAAUAUCCUCAGGCAUCCCAUGAAGUUUGAAGAUAUGCUCCAUAAAUACCGUGGUAAUAUCCACAUCAAGCAGAAUAAGGGUGUGACAGCGCUAGGAAGUGGGCAUAUUUAGUUAGUGUAUCCAUCACUGCUGUUUCCAGCUGAUUUUGGAGCACAGAAAAGUUAGCCAUGUCAAUUGCCAUUCAAUCUAACCGAUUCAACACCUUCUUCAUCUCGGUAGCCAUGGAUCAAUACUCAUUGAGCAGGAAACUGCUAUGAUACCACUGAUGUAAACUUGAACAAGAAGACUGAAUUAAGCUAAAGAUAGAAGGAAAAAAAUCUAGGAAGCUAAGUACCAUCUCGUUUCAUAAGCUCAAAUGCUCACAAUCCUCAUAUACUUCAGACUGUAUAGUAAUAAUGUCCAUUCAGUUCAUUGAUACGAGUAUACGACAUGCUUAACAUUUGCUAUUUACAUUGCCUUGGUACAUCCCAUAACGAAAUAAACAUAAUGAUGACACCAAAUGACAAGACAAAAUUGAAAAAACCAAAAAGCAGAAAAGCCAUCAAAAGAGAAUCGAACUAAACCAAACAUAUUUUAGUUCGGGUAGAUCUUCGAGAUGGUUUUUUUUAUUUUUAUUUUUAUUUUUUUAUUUUUUAUGUGAAUGGUAACAAUCAAAAACGAAAUAAUUGAAUCACACAAUAUAAACCCAAAACGAAUAACUAAAGAUACAUGCUUGGUUUCAAAGAGGGGAGGGGGCCGGGGUAAUAGGAACUUGAACUAUUACUUUUGGAUAGGUAUAUACCAAAUGUUUGAUCCCAACAUGUUUCAGAUUGAGGCUUAGUUGUUGUUGUUCUAGUAUGUACCUGGUGUUCCUUAUGAGAAAGUGUGGAUAUUGAUUGUUAUUCUAGUGGCUUCAAAUUAUCCUCCCCGCCACUCUGAAGUAGUUGGUGGAACUUCAUUCGAUUGACAUCAGUUUCUUUUAAGCCCGUAUCUUCUAAGUUAUAACAUUAACUAUCCCAAAUAGCUGUAGCCUUCAUAAAGUGUAUCCCUUCUACGUAAGCAUCCAUUUAACCAUUUCAAAUAGCCUAAUCUAUCUUAAAGUUUACUUGUUCUAGCUAAGUAUCCAUUUUGUGUGCUGUUCUCUAACUUGCAAUUCAUGAAUAAUAUUUUUUUACGUGUCAAAUAAUUCUCCCUGGGCGUUGUGAGAUAGUCGGAGAAACUGCCGACUUUUGAUGAUCGGUCUCUUUGUUAUUUAGAAUCACCCGUACUUUCUCAUUUACAAUUUCGAAUGUCCUAAUGUAAUGUUAUGACUAUCCUUUUGCUUAAUUUUACAUAUUGAGUGCUGUUCUGCUCACUUACUAUUCAUGAUGAACAAUUUCCUGCCUGUUAAAUACGCUUUCAGGUGCUGUUAAAUAGGUAAAGGGACUUCAGAUGAUUGACGAUUAGUUUUCUAUUUUCCUGUCCCCCCCACCCACGCACACACUAA
This is a long non-coding RNA of Lycium ferocissimum, 1950 nucleotides long. RefSeq lists it as uncharacterized. The record is from RefSeq and is a predicted model, not a curated record. The transcript has 2 exons. Lineage: Eukaryota; Viridiplantae; Streptophyta; Magnoliopsida; Solanales; Solanaceae.